This is a non-coding RNA of Pelodiscus sinensis (Chinese soft-shelled turtle), 374 nucleotides long. NCBI's taxonomy places the organism in Eukaryota, Metazoa, Chordata, Testudines, Trionychidae. The record is from RefSeq and is a predicted model, not a curated record.
UCUGGCUGACUCCUGUGAAGCUGACUCCAGCUGGAAAAAGAGCUUGUAGAAAGCCAGACACCUCAGAUGGAGGCCAGAUGCGAGGAUGAGGAAACCUGUCAUGGGUACUCUUGAGAAUAAGCAGAGGCUCCACACUCUCUCCAUUACUCCUGGACACAGUAAUCCCAUGAUGAAAGCACCGAAGGCCUGAGCAGCAAAAUCAGCACACUCAUUCCCAAAGUCAGGAUAUGGAACAAUAGCUGAAAGAACAUAUGUAAUCUACAUAUUAAGAAAACGAAAAGAUACUGGUGCAACAAUAGAAGGAAAAUGGAACCUACUACCAAGGGAGGAGUUCAAGAUACCAUCACUAUCAGAUAGUCCAAAAUAAAAGUAGA